CAUUGUGAUCUAUUAGGUUGGUGCAAAAGUAAUUGCGAUUUCUGCCAUUACUUUUAAUGGCAAAAGCCGCAAUUACAUUUACACCAACUUAA
Cercocebus atys (sooty mangabey) is the source of this 92-nucleotide microRNA precursor. NCBI's taxonomy places the organism in Eukaryota, Metazoa, Chordata, Mammalia, Primates, Cercopithecidae. The record is from Ensembl.